Molecule: long non-coding RNA, 228 nt
Filed under: Homo sapiens (human)
Lineage: Eukaryota; Metazoa; Chordata; Mammalia; Primates; Hominidae
Description: non-protein coding lnc-EPHA3-2:1
Source: RNAcentral
CAAAAUGAAAGUUCAACUCUGUGAGUUGAAUACACACAUCAAAAACUUUCUGAGAAUUUUUCUGUCUAGUUUUUAUGUGAAGGGAUGCUUCUGUCUAGUUUUUAUGUGAAAAUAUUCCCGUUUCCAACGAAGUCCUCAAAGCUGUCCAAAUACCCACUUGCAGAUUCUACAAAAAGAGUGUUUCAACACUGCUCUAUAUUCCCGUUUCCAACGAAGGAUCCAUCAAAA